Molecule: non-coding RNA, 30 nt
Filed under: Rattus norvegicus (Norway rat)
Lineage: Eukaryota; Metazoa; Chordata; Mammalia; Rodentia; Muridae
Source: RNAcentral
UGCAAAUAGAUCUACACUGGAAGAGGCGUC